GAUGAACGCUGGCGGCGUGCUUAACACAUGCAAGUCGAACGAUGAAGCCCAGCUUGCUUGGUGUAUUAGUGGCGAACGGGUGAGUAACACGGGAGUAACCUGCCCUCAACUCUGUGGUAAGCCUUGGAAACGGGGUCUAAUACCGGAUAGGAGCGUCCACCGCAGGGUGGGUGUUGGGAAGAUUUAUCGGUUUUGGAUGGACUCGCGGCCUAUCAGCUUGUUGGUGGGGUAAUGGCUCACCAAGGCGACGACGGGUAGCCGGCCUGAGAGGGUGACCGGCCACACUGGGACUGAGACACGGCCCAGACUCCUACGGGAGGCAGCAGUGGGGAAUAUUGCACAAUGGGCGCAAGCCUGAUGCAGCGACGCCGCGUGAGGGAUGACGGCCUUCGGGUUGUAAACCGCUUUCGGUAGGGACGAAGCGAAAGUGACGGUACCUGCAGAAGAAGCACCGGCUAACUACGUG
This 466-nucleotide ribosomal RNA is filed under the name uncultured bacterium. RNAcentral describes it as "partial 16S ribosomal RNA". It matches the Rfam family "Bacterial small subunit ribosomal RNA", at positions 28 to 507 of the family's 1533-position model. The record is from RNAcentral.